UCCAGUACAAUACUGUCCCAUGCUCCAGAGAAGACUGGCAAACAUCCUGAACAGCAGGUUUGGACCCCUCCAGAGGUCCACACCCCUCUGCCUGCCGGAGCUUGUAAUGGGUGGAACCGAUACUCUGGGGCAGGCUUCUGCCUUAUCUAAAGGCCCUGUGGAAAGCAGGGCCUGCAGACCCCCUCCUCCUGUGGGAAGUCACCCAUUGGAGCUCCACCACAAGGUUCUAGAACAGUGGGCACAGAAUAGCUCUACAAUCCACCGAACACCACGACUGGGAGAACCAGGAACGAGAAAGUUCCACUGUCUACAAAUGGAUGAAGCCAACAUUCAUCAGAAACAUCAACAGGGACCAGGAAGGACACAUCCUACCAUACUCACUGACGAUUGAUUCCAUUAUCCUUUCAAAAUGUUUUUUGGCAACUAAUAAGUUCCAGAAGCUCAAUCGGCUUCUAGAAUACAGCAGCCAGCCAAAGAGACAUAUUCCCUGCCCUUGUAAAGCUAAUAUAUGAAAAUUAACUGAAUCAGACUUUUCUUCAGAAACCUAGUGCCAUAACCUGUGCCUGAAUCUGGAAUGAAGGAGAAUUUGAAGGAAAGACUUCAUCAAGUUGGUGUCUCGUCAGUCAUGGCUAAGAGCAUGAUUCGGCACACCUGGGUUUGAAACCUGACUCCACCGAUGAUAACACGAGUGGUCUUGGGCAAGUUUGCUAAACGCUCUGGGUCUCAACUGCUUCGUGGAACAAACCUACCUCAAAAGGUUGAAUGAGAUGCUGCAUCAUUGUAAGGGCUCAAUAAAUGUUGCUUUAUGAAGCAAACACCUAACUUCCUCCUGAUAGGCAUGGAUCAUGCCCCUUUCAUUUCCUGAAUGCAGGAAUUUGGGCUUCAAUUAUGAGCCUUGUCCAUCAGGCUGAGGCUUUAUCUUCUCAACUCAGAUAAUAAUUUUCACUGUGAAUUUUUAAUAAGGUGCUAGGAUGGUACAUCAUGAUAACCUCCAUGAGGUCAGGGAUUUUCUGGUCUGUUUGUUCACUAAUACAACUUCAGUGUCUAGAACAGUUUCUGGCACAUAGUAGGUUCUUGGUGAGUAUUUGUUAGAAUAAAGGAUACUGUACCUGUCGGCAGACUGCAGAAAUGAAUCUGCCUAGUCAUUACUAUUAUUAACAGCCGCCACUUUCCCCAUAAACUAUGAAAAGUGUUCCAUAAACUAUGAAAAGUGUUCCACAGCUCGUCUCUAAUUCCCUCCACAAAAUCACGAGGCAGGUCUGAUUAUUCUAUUUUACAGGUGAGCAAGCUAAGCAAUCUGAGACCCAGCGAGGUUAACAACUAGCCUUAGGCCACGUAACUGCUAAGUGACAGAACUGGGAUUUGAAGCCAAGGCUGGUUCCCACACUGUCCUAUGAUGCAAUCCAGGAACUCUCUUGGUUUCCUGAGGAGAAGCAGAGAACCUUCUUCCCCCCACCAGUCCCUCUGAUAUAGCCCCCAAACUAGAUGGUGAGGGGCACAGGAAAAGAGGCUGGCAUUAAAGAAACAAUAGGGCUGAAGAAACUGCAUUGUCAAUAACUGCUGAAAAAUCAUGACACUAAUUAAGAACAAUGCUCCCUGUUCUGCCAAAAGCUCUAGCUUCUUGCAGAGAUCAAUAAAUCAAAAAUAAUUGUUUACUUUGUCUAGGCUCCUUCCCUUCUGCCUGUAUUUUUUUCCUUCUUUCUUUGUAUAAUGUGAAAGUUGAUGAAGGAGCCUCAUUUUCACUAAUGAAAGAAACUUAAUUUUUUUGGCACUAUAUCCCUCAUUAAGAAGAGCGAAAUCCACUUAGGAGUGGCUUCUGCUGCCUUCCAUUUGUCCAAACGAAGACCCCCAAAUCAGCAUAGGGCCAGUUUUAGCAUGAAAUUAGAGCUGCCAUGAAAUUUAUGUCUAUUGUUUUAGGAAAGAUAUUUAAUGAUAGAUGGUAACAGUCACUAAAAAUGACCACAGCCGUCUCCUCACUCUUGUUUUUGUUUCAUCUCUCCACUCUCUCCCCAACAGUGUAUGCAGGGCCAACAGUGAAGUGGCCUCAAAGAACUUGGAAUCUAAAAACCAGGUUAUCACUGAAUACUAGAUGGAUACCAGAGGAGAAAUAAGUAAUAUUACCUUAAAGAACUAGCAAGAAAAAAAAUCUCCCAGGCUAGUACAUAAUAGUUCUUGCCCAGCCACAACACACUAGGACAGUAAAGGAAUAAGACAUAGGGCAUGCCCUUCCCAGGACUGUCUAGGACAUAUCCAGGACGAUCCUAUUAACUUAAAUACAUUUUAUGGCACAUGUAAUAGUUCAAAUGAUAUGCUGGUAAACGUUUUUAACAACCAGAUUUUUUUUGGGGGGGAAGCUCUAAUUUGUAACAUUUGCCAAUUAUCAUAGUGUAAAUAUUCCCACCAUGGUCCAUUGUAAGUGACCGAGAAGAAUGCUGGAUUUUGGAAGAGAUGUGUGUAAUCCUCUGUGUACAGCUGUACACAAUCCAUUGAAUACGGAUUUGUUAAGAGAUAUGUACAAUUGUUUCUUGUACAUCAAAACCAGCAGGCUCUGGCAACCCCCGUAGUAGCCUUUGCCUCAGGAAUCCUUUGAUUAUAAUUGAGCUCUCUGUGUGGUUUUGUUCUUGGGAGGAAACUCACUUUUCUGACUCAACACUGUCUGCUUAAUGGCUGACUCUUUUCUUCAGUGGCACAAGAUACAGUUUCAUGAUGGUUUAUACAUCAGUUUAGUGGGAGUCAGUCCCUGGAGCCAGAUCACACUAAGAGGGAUAGCCAACAAGGCUGGGUAGCACAGAUGGAGUUUGGUGAACAGAUCACAGUAUGGCUUCCCAUUGGCACCAGUGCAGCUGCCCAGUGGCCUUCCUUCACCUCAUGCGAAAUUCUUAUCACCCUCUGUUGUAACAGUUUUCUUCCUUCCUUAUCAGUCCCUUCAGGCAGGCUCUGAAUUCCAGAAGGAUAGGUAUGGGGACAUAGUCAUCCUUGGCACGCUGUGGUGUUAGGCUAAAAACCAUUAAUACAAGGGAGCUGGCUAAUUAGAAUAAAGGAAACAUCUACUGAGGACUUCUACCCACUGCUACAUGCUGCUAAGUUCAACCCCACGAACUUGAAUAUAUCUUCUCCCAUAAAACACUUGAAAAGAGAAAUUAGGAAGAGCCUUAUAGCCCCUGUCACAGACUCUCUAACACUUUAAAAAUUCCUGAACGGUGUGCUAAUGUGCUUUAACUUGGUUUAAAGUGGUAAGGUCUCCACAUCACCAUGGAAAUAUCCCCCCCAUACCCCUUUCAAAUAAUGAGAUGGUAAUAAAACAAUGAACUUGAGGUAAACAAGAGGCAGAAAUACUUUAAGCCAGAGGAUGAGCAAUCAAAAGACCAUUUGGUAACGCACUGUCUGCAGACUGAAUGGCGGAGGGCAAAUAACUAUGUACAAAUCUAACAUCAAGACUUGGAGUUUGAGUAUUGUAGACUACCGGUUUCUACUUGCAAAAUUCCCAUUGCAGCUAGCCACAGAGGUGUAUAAUAAAUUAGGUUCUGAUAACCUGCGUUUAGCCAAAGUGUGAAAAUCAAGUGGAUCCUAGAGGAACUCAGAGGCUGCAAAGAUUUAAACCGCCUAACUCAGGCAGUAUCGUUUGCGGGACCCAGGCUGUAUAGCCACAGAAGGAAUAUGUGGGCUGUUACUGAUCUGGAGGUGAGGGAGACCUAAUAAGUGGUUAUGGCUACACCAUUCAGUCUGGUCAUGCUAGACACCCCAAUUCUAAUAUAAUUAAAAGGAUUCCUGGACACCCCCACUUCACCCAGUCCACACCCAGACAUGAAAGACCUAGAGUCAGACCCGGCAGAGCCAUCUCCAACUGGCUAUGGGCUCAAGGAUGACCUCAGAAAUGUUCCGAGAAUGAGGUUGCUAUAACUUUAUUUCAGGUAGAAUGGAAAGCUGCAUUUAUUUCAGCUCAUGUGAGUGGGGGCGGGGGCAGGGAUGGGAGUCUUUCUACCAUCUGAGUUAAUUUCCUGCCUCGCGGUGGAAGUCCCUUCAGGGUUAGCAACGUGAACUCUCAUUCUCAAUGUCCAGCAUUACAGCUGCAAGGGAUAUGGGAUACACUGGGAGGCAGCAACCGCCAUUAUGUUUUUAGACAAAUCCCCAUGUCUUGCCUGUUUUCUUAUUGGACUGACAACAAGUAGUGGCAAUAAACCUCAAUUAAUUUAAAGACUAAUAAAUGGGUAUACAAGAGUUCUCUGUGCCAUCUUUGCAACUUUUCUGUAUAUCUAAACUGUUCUAAAAUAAAACAUUUCAAAAAAAACCUCCAGAAAAAAAAUUACGUAAUUUCUAGUUUAUUGAGAUGUUGAGUAGAGUUCCAUAAAGGGAUUGCUUUCCUGUUUAAAACUCUCCUUUGGUAUCAUCUCCACUGUAUAAAAAACUACAUUAAAAAAAAGACUGGAAGAAAAGAAGCAAGAAUGAUAAUAAUGGUUGCCUUUGGAGGGUGGGCAUCCAUUGGAAAGGUGGAAGGGUUUUUUUCCUACCUCUUUUAAUUUUUCUUUGUCAUCUAAAUUUUCCACCAUUACUUUUUAGGGAAAGGGUAUUUGUAAAAAGGCUUUACAUCUACUUUCCUACUGUCUACAAAUUAAAGCUUCUUACCAUAAUAUACCUUCCUAAUCUGGCCUUGUUUCUCCAAUUUCAUUGUCUACCAUCCCUUCUCCUCCUUAAGAUACCUGUACUUCUGGAUAAUUUUAAAUUGCCCACAGUUGUCCCAGACAUGCUCUGAGUCUUUGUACAUCAAAUAAUCCUACAGGUUCAAAUGCCUUCCCUCCUUUCCAGUCCAAGUUUUAGAUGUUUCCUUCAAAACCUAGCUAAGAUACCAUCUUUUGGGGGAAAAUAUUCCUGACCCCACCAUGCGUCUCUACAGAAUUCACUCUCUCCUCUCGCUGCCGUACAUAGAUUUCUAUCAUUGCCCUUAACACACUGAUUGGUAUUGAUCAGACUGUAUGUUAAGCCUGACUCUGAGAUCACUGAGAGAAGACUAGUGCCUGAUGUAUUACGGCAUCUUCAGUCCAGAGCCUGGCAUAUGGAACUUAGUGUAACACAUCACUGAUGGGCGGAUUUAGUGAAUGGGCUCAUGAGCGUACGUUUGGCUUCCCCCAGAAAGGAGCACUAUAUACUGGUAAAAAAAAAAAAAGACUUGACCAAGUGCAAAGAGCCAAAGCAGAGAGGCAGAGCCCAGCUAGGAAGUCAGGUGAGAGGUGGGAGGGACCAUGACAAAGGAACAGGGCUGUAGAUGACCAGGAACCUCAUCUGAGUCAGAGCCAGGGUGAGCAACUCUGAGAAGGAAGGGCUGUCUCUUCUGAGGUCCCAGGGUGACAGUUUUAAAAAGUUGUCUUGCCGUGAGAUGCCAGAGAACAGAUUCUAACAUGACUCGUUUACUCAUAUGUAUCUUACACUGUUAGGAACAAAAUACCCGUCAGAGAUCAUUAAAUCCAAUGGUUUGUAAGCUGCCUUUCACAGAAAUCUAGGAUUCUGCAGAACCAUUUCAAAGACAGGGCAUGUGGGAAGGCUGGUGCUGCAGACCAGGUCAUGAGCACUCCAACCGGGGCAGCUCCACUGGUAACUGGCUUACAUCUUGACCCUCCGCAGAAAACUCUUAGGAGAUGGUUCUGCUUAAAAAAUAAAGGAAGAUAUGGAGGGAGGGGGAAGGAGGGAGGAGAAGGGAUGAAAAGGAAGGGAAAGGAAGAGAGAGGAGGAGAGAGAAGGGGAGAUGGAGGGAAGCAGGAAGGAGGGAGGAAGAGACGGAAGGAGGAGACCAGAAAGUAAGUUAGAAAGGGGGAAGGAAGGAAGGAAGGAAGGAAGGAAGGAAGGAAGGAAGGAAAGGGAGGUGGAGGAAGAAAGGUUAAGGAAAAGAAACAAAGGAAGGAAGAAAACAAACUACCGAUAAAACCCAAACCUGUCAUGAGAAAACGAAGAGUCAGGAGAGAAGUGAUAUUUCUGAGAUCACAGAGGAAGGCGAUGACACCAUCAGGAUGACAAGUCUGGUCCUCUCCUUCCCAACUCAGGACUCCAUGUUUGAGGACAGAAGCUUCAUUAGCUCCUUCUUCCUCCCCUUCACCCCACAACGCAAGGGUGCCCGAACAGAGGCAGCAAGCUCAGGAUGUCCAAUGAAGCAAAAAGCAAAGAUCCUCAAGUUGGUUCGUAUAUAUGCUGACAUUUGAGAAGCAGCAUCCUUGGGAAGCUACUUGAACUGAGUCCUAAAGAAAGAGGUAAGACUGCCAUGUUGAGAAUCGCAUACAACAGCAUGUAUCAUAGGCUCCACUGUCUGCCUCCCAUUUUGGUUCCAACAAAUGCUUUUCAUUCACUUCGCCAGACAGAGUGGAUCAGUGUCAUUGCCAAGGCAAAACAGGACCCGACAUCUUGUAAGCUGAAACAGGCUUGAAAACUCCUGGAGGGGGAAGGAAGUUUACAUCCUGUUGAAGCGCCACAAAGAUGGCAAGUGUGUGGCAUAUGUGCCACUGUAUCCUCGUUCUGUUCCUGUGGUAGACAUCGUUAAUCAAUCCCUGUUCUCUUUCCUGCUUAGCCCAGACACUCUCUCAGAAACCUCAACCUAGCUCUCCAGGCACCCCCUAUCGACGGAAAGAAGCUUGUACCUAAGAGGAUAUCCUUCGAAUCGUGUCCUUCAUCAUUGACUGAUAACAUUAGUCAAAAUAAAUGUUUUACCAGGUACAGGGAGAAAAAAAAAAGACCACCAUCAUUUUUCUUCAUGAUGUGCAUUUCUCAGGAAGAAGAAUCCUUAUUCCAGGGUUAUCGGGUGAAGUGACCAAGCUACCGAUUUAGUGAGCGACAUUUGCGUAUUUCAUCCAAGGGGAAGAAAGGAAGGGGGAGGAAAUGCACAUUUACUGAACCUGUACAUCAUGCACCUUCCUAAGAGUUUUACAUACAGAAUAGCUCAUCCAACCCUCACUACAACCAUACAGGGUAAAUCUGUCAGCCACAUUUUACAGAGGCGGUUAGAGAAGUUAGGUAACCUGCUGCUGUCAAACAGCUAGUGGAGAGGUCUCUCUGGCUUGAAACAUGGGUCCUUUUCCAGUAUACUUUAAUUAACAGGCACAUCACAGAUGUAGUAUUGAUAAAAAACAAAAACAAAACACAAAACAGCAAGGGCUUCACGAUAGUUUUUACUAGAGAGCUCUAAAAGUUAAAAGAGCCACUACAUUCUCUUAAAGGGCCCUUCUUGGCCCAGAAUCUCUGAGUUUCACAUGGCCUGGGACCUAGAUUUCAGCUUCUUGUUGAUCCUCAAAGGACAUGAUAGUGGCUACGGACUAUCUACCUCAGGAGCACAAAAUCCUUAAGGAAAAAAAGCUGGUGGCUUUAUCAGACAAAACCCAAAGCAAUGAUCUGUUGUUUUAACUACUAAUUCUGCAAUCUGGUUUAUUUCCCUUUGGUGGCCCUUGAUGGAGAGUGUAAUAUUAAUGUAUUUAUUAAUACAUCAAUCUUGCUAUUGACAUAAUUGUAUAUUAUAACAAUAAUUACAUUAUUAUCACUGUCACUAUUACUAUAAUGUCACAGGUUGGGUUCUCCAGAAGCAUAGGUGAGAUGGAAUUUAGGGGGCAAGAUAUUUAUUGGGGAUCAACAGAUGUGAAGGGAAAAGGGGAGGAAAUAAGAUAGAACAGGGUGAAGAGCGCUCGAAAAGCCUGAGCAUCAGCAAGGGGCUCUGGAAUGAAUAUUAUCCACCAGGGUUGUCCCCUUCAGGCCAAAAUGGUCCAACCUUUAUCUAUCUGCCUCAUUCAGUCACUAGAGGCUGGAUGCUCUGGGAAGAAUGUGAUGGUACAAGCUCUCUAUGGCAGAGGCAGACCCUGAAAGAGCUGAUAGCUAUAGGCUCUCUGCCGACCACACUCCUUAUAGCUGGACAGCAAGUCCUUUUUGAAGGAGGAGCCAGAUGGUACAUCUUUAUUUACCAAAACGAAUGAUACCUCCUGAUAUCUGAAUGGGGCUUUACAAUUGAUGACAUUUUCAUAUCUGUUAGCACAUUUGCUCCUUGCAAUCCAAAUCUGAACAUGAUGUUUUGUAGUAGAUUCCACUGUUGUCCAAAAUACUUGUUCUUCCCUAUGGAAGGAUUACUUCCUCCCCUACUGACAUCAGGCUCAGUCAUGUGACUUGUGUUGGCCAGUGAGUUAUGAGUGAAAGUGAUGAGCAUCACUUCUGAGCAAAAGCUUUAAGAGCCGUUACAUGUGCUGUCAUCUUCUCUUUUUUUUCCCCUCUGCUAAGAGUCCAGGUUGUCCCACACAGGAGCUGCUCCUUCAGUUCCUGAGUAAAGGCACUGGAGCAAAAACUGCAGGCGCUCCACAAUGGACAUGAAUGCGAGUGAGUUAGAUUCCUCCGUUGUCUCAAGCCACUAAGAUAUUUAGGGAUGUUUGUUGCUACAGCAUAACUUAUCCUAGCUUGACUGAGACACUCCCAUCACUUACAAGCCCAUGCUCCUCAGCAAGGCUUUAUAUAAUCCCACCUCUGCCCGUCUCUCCAGUCUUAUCUCCCACCAUGCCUCACCUUGCUUUCUUCCAACCACAUCACACACAUUUAUCUUCUUGAAAAGCUCCUACCCCUUCUCUAAGAUGUAGCUCAAAUAUUCUCUACUCUAUGCAAUUUUCCCUCAUCCCCUCUCCCUAGGCAGAAAUAACUCCACCAAUCUUUCUCAUUGGGCUGUGUAGAAACUAUUUUGUUAAUCCCUUCCCAGUGCCUAGAACGCUGUCAGGCACUCAGCAGGGGGUCAAUAACAUUUGUUGGAAUAAAUCAUAGUCUAUACUGAUGUGUUAGCGUGUGCCAGGAACUGUAGUAAGUGUUUGAAGAAGAUUAUUUAACUUAAAUUAAGGUAGGUAUUAUUACUGUUCCCUAUUUUUUUAAUGUUUUUAGGUUUAUCCAUUUUACUUUUCUUUUAUUUCUGUGUGUAUUCACAGUAUGACUUGUCAGUAGUAAUAAGAAUUAUAAUUAGGCUCUAAAUACAUAGGUCAUUGUUGAUCACAUAAUGAGAAGUUCCUAGAAGAGAAUACUAGGUAGGGGAAGAGAGAGAAUACCAAAGAAAGGAAAACAGGAAGAUAUUUUUAAAAACUAGGUUUCUUUAUUUCACCUAGUGGUUCCUGAAGACACUCAGAUGCAUUGUUUUUGAAGGGCAGGGUCAGUGUUAAUCUAUGAAAAUCAGAAGAAGGCCUAGCAACUAAAAAAAGUUCAAAUGAAAGUUUCAGCAUUCAAAAGGAAAUAAAGUACCUAAGGAAACUUGGUCCAGCUAUUUUUAAUGUAGUAGAGACCCUAUGUGUGGGGAUAUAUGUAAAAGUCUAUCUACAUUACCUAAUGCUCAGGUAAUACAGUUUUGACAUGACUUAGGAACAGAAUACAUAUCACUGUAUAAAAGAACACAGCAGAAGUACAACUUCUUGUUGAAACCGGGCACUACAGUGAAAUACUAAGUAAGCAGGACAUAGGUUAUAAGGAUUGAAUUCUUUAUGUGCUUUGAUCAAAAGCCAAAAAGAAGGUACUCUGCAACCUUGAAUAAUUUCCCCCAAAUUUGAUUAAAGUCAUCCUCAACAUAAUGAUUCCUACAAAGUUCUGUACGCUGUGACAAAGUGAGAGAGUGACAUGGACAUAUAUACACUACCAAACAUAAAAUAGCUAGCUAGUGGGAAGCAGCCGCGUAGCACAGGGAGAUCAGCUCGGUGCUUUGUGACCACCUAGAGGGGUGGGAUAGGGAGGGUGGGAGGGAGGGAGACGCAAGAGGGAAGAGAUAUG
Long non-coding RNA from Orcinus orca (killer whale), 9750 nucleotides. RefSeq lists it as uncharacterized. The record is from RefSeq and is a predicted model, not a curated record. The transcript is spliced from 3 exons. NCBI's taxonomy places the organism in Eukaryota, Metazoa, Chordata, Mammalia, Artiodactyla, Delphinidae.